RNAcentral lists this ribosomal RNA (364 nucleotides) under uncultured Phaeocystis. RNAcentral describes it as "partial Bacterial large subunit ribosomal RNA". It matches the Rfam family "Bacterial large subunit ribosomal RNA", at positions 498 to 861 of the family's 2925-position model. Lineage: Eukaryota; Haptophyta; Phaeocystales; Phaeocystaceae. The record is from RNAcentral.
GUACCGUGAGGGAAAGGUGAAAAGUACCCUGAGUAAGGGGGUGAAAUAGAACCUGAAACCGUGCGCUUACAAGCGGUCGGAGCCCAUGAGUUGGGUGACGGCGUGCCUUUUGCAUAAUGAGCCUACGAGUUACCAUAUAUAGCGAGAUUAAGGUCUAGAGGACUGUAGUCGAAGCGAAAGCGAGUCUUAACAGGGCGAAUAGUUAUAUGUGGUAGACGCGAAACUUUGUGAUCUACCCAUGGCCAGGGUGAAGGUUAGGUAACACUAACUGGAGGCCCGAACCAGUACACGUUGAAAAGUGUUUGGAUGAGUUGUGGGUAGGGGUGAAAGGCCAAUCAAACUCGGAAAUAGCUGGUUCUCCGCG